GAACUCAAGUGAUCCACCUGCCCUGGCCUCCCAAAGUUCUGGGAUUACGGGCAUGAGUCACCGUGCCUGGCCCUAAAUGUCAAUUUUUGAUUGUUUGGUGCUCCUAUAUGGAAAUACUAUUGACUUUUGUAUAUAGAUCUUGUAUCCUAAUACCUUUCUGUGGGAAUCUAGGUAAUGGUUUUUCCUACUUUCUACUCUCUACUCUCACACAGUCACUCAACACUCCAUGACCAGAUGAGUAGGGUAUUCCCCACACACCGAGUCAUUCCCCAGCAGGUUCUGCAGGGGACAGCAGUGGGGGUCCUCUAUUCAACCUCAUCUUGACACUGUCCACCCGGAGUGACCUCAGAACCCACAGGGUGAGGGCUCAGUCCCACAAGACGGCCCCCCAUUCAGAUGCCAAUCCCAAGUCCAGGUGUGGUCUGUGCUUCUGUCCAGCUGGCUAUAAAUCGGGGCUCCCAUGACCCCCUUCUGGGUUGGAUAAAUUUGUAGAGUGGCUCACAGAACUCAGGGAAACACUUCGUUUAUGGUUCUGGCUUAUGAAUAAAGAAUGUAGUAACAGGUACAGAUGAACAGCCUGAUGAAGAGGUGCACAGGCUAAGGUCGGGAAGGGUCCCAAGGGCAGGAGCUUCUGUCCCGUGGAGUUGGGGUGUGCCCUUCUCCUGGCAGGCGGAUGUGUUCGCCAGCCCAAAGGAAGCUUUCUGAACCAGUCCUUUUGGGUGUUUUUGGAAGCUUCAUUAUAGAGCCAUGAUUGAUUAUAUAUCAUUGGCUGUUGGUGAGAACACUUCCCAAUUCUUCAGUGCCUCUCCCCUCCCCGGAGGUUGGGGGUGGGGGCUGAAAGUCCCAACCCUCUAACAUGCGUUGAUCUUCCCAGGGACCAGCCCCCCAUCCUGAAGCUGUCUAGGGCCCCCCAGCCACCAGUGAACUCCUAUCACUCUGGAGAGUCCAAGGCUUUUUAGGAGCUGUAUGUCAGGAAAUGGGAAGAUGACCAAACGUAUAUUUUACAAUAUCAUACUUUCUUUCUUUCUUUUUUUUUUUUUGAGACGGAGUCUCGCUCUGUCGCCCAGGCUGGAGUGCAGUGGCGCGAUCUCGGCUCAGUCCAAGUUCCGCCUCCCAGGUUCACACCAUUCUCCUGCCUCAGCCUCCCGAGUAGCUGGGACUACAGGCGCCCGCCACCUCGCCCGGCUAAUUUUUUGUAUUUUUAGUAGAGAUGGGGUUUCACCAUGUUAGCCAGGAUGGUCUCGAUCUCCUGACCUCGUGAUCCACCUGCCUCGGCCUCCCAAAGUGCUGGGAUUACAGGCGUGAGCCACUGCGCCCGGCCUACAAUAUCAUACUUUCUAAAUACACUUAUUAUUUCUGGCAGCUUUUUGUAGAUUCUGUUAAAUUUUUUGCCAAUAAAGAUAAUCUUCACUUCUUCCUUUUCUCUCUGGAUGCCGAGUGUGUGUGUGUGUGUGUGUGUGUGUGUGUGUCUGUGUGUCACCCUAUUGAACUAGCUAGAAUUCCAGUACAAAGUUGAAUAGAAGUGGUGAGAGCAGACAUCUUUUGUUAAUGAUGGAACUCUGAAUGCUUUCUCCCCAAAGAUAAGCGUGAUGUUAGCUGUAGGAUUUUCGUAGCUACCCUUUGUCAGGCCAAGGCAGUUGCCACCUACUCAUAGCUUGCUGAGAGUUCUUAUUAGGAAUAGAUGUUAGAUUUUUUUUUUCAGAUGCUUUUUUUGUGUGUCAACGGAGAUUAUCAUGUUAUUUUUAUUAUGGUAAAUUACAUUGAUGGUUUUUUUUACUCGAUAAAUACUGACUUUUUAUUAGUAUCCACUCCAUCACUCAACAGCAAUAGCAGCAUGCAGAUGCCAUGAGGGCAGGGCUGUGUGUACACACAACACUCACCAGUACAUCCCAGUGCCUAGUACACAGUAGGCACUCAGUUAUAUCAUUGAAACAGGGAACGCUUGGCUGAUUCAUUUACAUUUUAAUUUAUUUUAUUUUUUUUAUUAUUAUACUUUAAGUUUUAGGGUACAUGUGCACAAUGUGCAGGUUAGUUACAUAUGUAUACAUGUCCCAUGCUGGUGCGCUGCACCCACUAACUCAUCAUCUAGCAUUAGGUAUAUCUCCCAAUUCUAUCCCUCCCCCCUCCCCCCACCCCACAACAGUCCCCAGAGUGUGAUGUUCCCCUUCCUGUGUCCAUAUGUUCUCAUUGUUCAAUUCCCACCUAUGAGUGAGAAUAUGCGGUGUUUGCAUAUUUUCUUUUUGAAUAGUGUGACUUACUCUUUUUGGCAUAUGAUAGCUAUGGUAUCACAUAAACAAUUGUAAACUGUGUCGAGCUGCCAAAAGUUUGAAUCUCAUGCCAGUAUAUACAUUCAGCCUUCUCACCAUAGCUAUUUGAGAGUUAUAAUUAUCUAUAGCACUGAAAGAGACUUUGGGCUCAUCUGGUCCGAUUCUCUUAUUUCAUGAAUUAGAACACUAAAUCCACUCAGACUGGGUGACUCGUCUGUCAGAACAUGCAAUAAACAGAAAACAAGGGGUUGUUUGCCUGAUGCCAUAGCAUCCAAAGGUCAGGGUAGCUGGAACUCUUGGUGUCUUCUUGUCUUACAAAAUGAUGGAAGACGCAUCAUUUUAGUUCUCUGGUAGAAAGAGGAUCAGAGAACCAGCUGGGAAUCACAAAUAUGCUACAAAGAUAAAAGACAGAAUUUGGCCCUAAAUAAAAAUAGAUUCUUAAAAAUAGAGAAGAGAUCAGAUAUGUUGCUAAGAAAAUGCAGAUGUUAGACCAUAUCCAUGGUUCACAGUCCUUGUGAAAGCUUAAAAAAUAUAGAUGCCAGGACCCAAUCCCAGAGAUUCUGCCUUAUUUGGUCCAGGAAGAGCAUAAGCAUACAUUGAUUGAUUUUUGAAUGUUAAAAAAAAUUACUCCUGCAUUCCUGGGAUAAAUCCCACUCGUUCAUGGUACAUUAUCCUUUUACGCAUUAUUGAAUUCAGUUUCCUAAAAUUUUGUUAGGAAUUUUUGGAUCAAUAUUCAUUAGGGAUAUGGGCCCACAGUCUUUGUCUGAUUUUGGUGUCAAGACAGUGUCAUAGAUGAGUUGUGAAGGAUUCUGUCCUCUUCAGUUUUAUGGAAGAGUUUGUGUAGUGUUAGUUCUUCUUAAAUGUUUGGUAGAAUUCACUAUUAAUCUAUCUGGAACUGGAGUUUUCUUUGUAGGAAGAUUUUUAACUACAAAUUUAAUUUCUUGAAUAAAUAUAGGGUUUUCACAUUAUUUCAGAAAUUUCUUCUUGAGAGAGAUUUGGUAGUUUAUGCCUUUUAAGAAAUUUCAUCUAAGUUGUUGAAUUUAUUGGCAUAAGUUGUUUGUAAUAUUUCCUUAUAAUCCUUUUAAUAUAUGUAGGAUCCACCGCGAUGUCACCUCUCUCGUUCCUGUUAUUAAGUUGUAUCUUCUGUUUUCAUUCUGAACUGUGUUGAUAGAGUUUUAUCAAUUUUACUGAUAUUCUCAAAGGAACUAUUUUAGCUUCAUUGAUUUUCUCUAUUGCUUUAAUCUUUUCUCUUUCAUUAAAUUUCUGCUCUGAUUGUUGCUAUUCCUUUCUUCUGUUUGCUUUGGGUUUCAUUUACUCUUCUCUCUCUAGUUUCUUUUUUUAUUUUUAUGUAGUAGACUUAAAAACAGAACCUUUAUAGUUUCUUAAUGUGGCAACUGAGGUUAGAGAAUGAAUGCCUUUCUUCUUUUCUAAUUUAGGUAUUUAGUGGUUUAAAUUUCUCUGUAAUUGCUGCUUUAGUGGCAUUCCAUAAAUUUUGAUAUGUUGUAUUUUUACUUUCAUUUCAUUCACAAUACUUUUGAUUUCCUCUUUGAUUUCAUGUUUGAUUCGUGAGUAUUUAAAAGUGUGUUAUUUAGUUUUCAAAUAUUUAUGGAUUUUUCUAGAGAUCUUUCUCUUAAUGAUUUCUAAUUUAAUUCCAUUGUGGUCAGAGGAUAUACUUUGUGUGACUUGGAUUAUUUUUACACGUAUUGAGGCUUGUUUCAUGGCCCAGAAUUUGGUCUUUCUUGGUAUAUGUUCCAUAUACAAUCGGGAAUCAUGUGCAUCUGGCUGUGGUUGGGUGGAAUGUUCUGUAAAUGUCAACCAUAUCAGGUUGUUUUAGCAGCAUUGCUAAGAUUUACUAUAUCCUUGCUGAUUUUCUGUUUACUUUCUAUGUCUUAUCAGUGGAGAAAGGUACUGAAGUUUCUGACCAUAAUUGUGGAUUUGUUUAUGUCGUCUUACUUCAUGCCGCUUGAAGGUCUAUUGUUAGGUUGAUAAAUGUUAACAAUUGUUAUGUGCUCCUAAUAAAUUGAACCCUUUAUUAUUAUAAAAUGACUUUUUUUGGUCCUUGGCAGUACUCUUUGCUCUGAAACCUACUUCAGUAUUCAUGUAGCCACUCCAGCUUUCUUUUGAUUGGUGUGAACAUGAUACAACCUUUAAAAAAAUCCUUUUACUUUUAGCUUAUUUGUGUCUUUAUGUGUAAAGUGGGUAUCUUGUAGGCAGCAUAUAGUUGGGUCUCAUUUUAUUAUGCAAUCUGAAAAUCUGUCUUUUAUUUGGGGUUUUUAGAUCAUUUUUGUUUAAUAUGUCUUUGAUAUAGUUAGAUUUAAGUAUCAUUUUGCUAUUUGUUUUCUGUUUGUCCCAUCUUUUCUUUAUUCCCAUUCCUCUUUUUUUCCUUCUUUUUUAUUAAUUGGCUUCAGUAAUUUCCUCUCUUAAUUUUUAUGUAUUCUAUUUAUUUUUUAUGCUUCUGCUUUGUCUCCUUUGUUGGCUCAUUAGCCAGAAAUCUUUGUUUUGUUAUUUUAGUGGUUGCUUUAGGGUUUAUAAUAAUUGUCUUUAAUUACAGAUACCUUCAAAUGACAUUGUACAAUUUCACAUAGAGUAUAAAGACCUUCCAAUAAUUCACUUCCAUUUCUCCUACUGGACCUUGUGCUAUUGUUGCCAUACAUUUUACUUUUGUAUGUUACAGACUCACACUAUGUUGUUAGGGUAUUUUUUUCAUUUAAACGGUCAAUUUUUUAAAUUAAAAAUUUAGAAAAUUAAAUAGUAAAAAAGGAUCUUGUAUAUUUACCAUGUAGUCACCAUUUCCAGUGGUCUCUUUUCCCUUGUAUAGAUCUCUAUUUCCAUCUGGUGUCAUUUUCUUUUUGCUUGAAAGAAUUUCUUUCUUUCUUUCUUUCUUUUUUUUUUUUUGAGAUGGAGUCUCGCUCAGUCACCCAGGCUGGAGUGCAGUGGCGCGAUCUCGGCUCACUGCUAGCUCUGCCUCCCGGGUUCACAGCAUUCUCCUGCCUCAGCCCCCCACGUAGCUGGGACUAUAGGCGCCCACCACCACGCCCGGCUAAUUUUUUGUAUUUUUUUUUUUUUUUUUUUAGUAGAGACGGGGUUUCACCGUAUUAGCCAGGAUGGUCUCGAUCUCCUGACCUUGUGAUCCACCCGCCCUGGCCUCCCAAAGUGCUGGGAUUACAGGCGUGAGCCACCGCCCCUGGCCAAGAAUUUCUUUAGCAUUUCUUAUAGUGCAAAUCUACUGGUCAUGAAUUCUUUCAGCAUUUGUUUGAAUGAAAAAUUAUUCUACCUUUGAUUUUGAAAGAUAUUUUUGCUGGGUACAGAAUUCUAGGUUGAUAUUUUUUCCCCCUUAAUACUUUAAAGAUGUUGUUUCAUUCUCUUCUCACUUGUAUUAUUUCGGAUGAAAAAUCUAAUGCCAUUUUUGUCUUUGUUCCUUGUAUGUAACACAUCUUUUUUCUCGUGCUACUUUAAAGAUUUUCUCUUUUUAUUGGUUUUGACCAAUUUGAUUAUGCUGUAAUUUGGUAUAGUUUUUAAAAACGUGUCUUCUGCUUGGGGUUCAUUUACUUGGUUCUAUGAGUUUAUAUUUAUUAAAUUUGGAAAAAUUUUGGCCAUUAUUCCUCCAAAUAUUUUUUUCUAUCUCAUUCCUCCUCGUUUUGGGACUUGAAUUACAUCCAUAUUUGAUCUUUGAAGUUGUCCAGCAGUUCAUUGAUGAUCUAUUAUUAUUUCUGAAUUGUUGGGAUAGUUUCAGUUGCUGUCUUCAAGUUUACUCUUCUUUUUUUCUGAAAUAUUGAAUCUGAGGUUAAUCUCAUGCAGUAUAUUUUUUCAUCUCAGACACUGUAAUUUUCAUCUCUAAAUCAGUUAGGGACUUUUAGUUUCUUCGUUGUCUCUAGUUAACUUUUUGAACACAUGGGAAUCAGUUAUAACAACCGUCUUAAUGUCCCUGAUCAUCUUUGUCAAGUCUGGCUUGAUUUUGAUUGAUUGCUUUUCCUUUUAGUCAUGGGUCAUAUUUUCUUCAUUCUUUGCAAGCUUGGUAAUUUUUUUUUCUUUUUUUUGAGAUGGAGUCUCACUCUGUUGCCCAGUCUGGAGUGCAGUGGUGUGAUCUCAGCUCACUGCAAGCUCUGUCUCCUGGGUUCAUGCCAUUCUCCUGCCUCAGCCUCCCAAGUAGCUGGGACUACAGGUGCCCGGCUAUUUUUUUUGUAUUUUUAGUAGAGACGGGGUUUCACUGUGUUAGCCAGGAUGGUCUCAAUCUCCUGACCUCGUGAUCUACCCACCUCGGCUUCCCCAAGUGCUGGGAUUACAGGCGUGAGCCACCGCGCCUGGCCGUUUUGUUUUGUUUUUGUUUUUUGUUUUUGAGACAGAGUUUUUUUUGCUCAUAUUGCCCAGGCUGGAGUGCAAUGGCAUGAUCUCAGCUCACCGCAAUCUCCACCUCCCAGGUUCAAGCGAUUCUCCUGCCUCAGCCUCCUGAGUAGUUGGGAUUAUAGGCAUUCGCCACCACACCCGGCUAAUUGUGUAUUUUUAGUAGAGACGGGGUUUCUCCAUGUUGGCCUGGCUGGUCUCGAACUCCCGACCUCAGGUGAUCCACCCACCUUGGCCUCACAAAGUGCUGGGAUUACAGGCGUGAGCCACUGCACCCAGCCAAACUUGGUAAUUUUUUAAUUGGGUACCUGACAUAGUGAAUUUCACCCUGCUGGGGGCUAUUUUUGUAUUACUGUAAAUAUUUUUGGUUGUUCCGUGAUGUAGUUUAGUUACUUAGAAACAGUUUAUUCCUUUGGGUCUUAUUUUUAAGGUGUUAGGCAGGACCAGAGCUGUGUUUAGUCUAGAGUUAACUGCUGUUCACAUGGAGGCAGAACACUUUUGGGUACUCUACUCAAUACUUUGUGAAUUGUGAGUGCUCCUGCUACUCUAGCCUCCUGGAGAGCUCCUGUCACUGCUCCCUCAAAUCAUUCAGGUGCGUCUUUCCUGAACUUAGGUCAUCUCCCCACAGGCAUGUGUUGAUCAGUUCUCGGCUGAACCCUUGAAACCUUCCCCAGAUCUCCAGAGUUCUCUCUGUCCAGCUCUCUCUUCUCUGCCUCCUGCUCUCUGAAUCCUAACUGCCUUGGUUCCAUCCGAGUUCCCUCUCCUGUUCCAUGACUUGAAACUUUCCUCAAGGCAGUGAGCUGGGGUAGUCAUGGGGCUCACCUUGUUUGUUUCCUGUCUCUUGGGGAUCACUGUCCUUUGUGGCCUGAUGUCCAGUGUCAUGGAAAUCACUGUUGUUCUUGGGAGUGGGGUAAACUGGGUUCCUAUUACUCCAUCUUGGCUGGCGUUAGAAGUCCUAGCAAGUGUUUCUUGCAGCAUACUGUGUGUGAGGCACUGUUCUAGGCACUGGAGACUCAUCGUGAAUAACAGAAGACCCUUCCCUCAGGCAGCUAUGUUCUAGCAGACCAGGAAGGCUGGGCAAUGAAUCCAAGCACGGCCAUGAAAGGCUCCUCAGCCUUGGGCAAGCUGUGCCACCUGGGCUGAGCACUAAAAGCUCCUCAGCCUUGGGCAAGCUGUGCCACCUGGGCUGAGCACUACAGCCUUAGACAAGCUGUGCCACCUGGCUGAGCCUCAGAUCCUGGACUCUUCUUCAUCACAGCUGGGGCUUACUGUGCACCGCCUGUUGCUGUGAUUGCCAUUGUUUGCUCAUUUGUUUGUUGAAUCAUGAGCAAGGGACCUUCCUACCCAGAAAACCUUUUAAAAAGAAGUGACAGUAGUCCCACUUAUUGGUUGAAUUUUAUUUUUAUUUUUUGUAUUAUAAAGGCUUAACAUUUUUCUUACAGUGCAGAAUUUCCUUCAGAGUUUAGUGCAUGAUUUCUUGCCUGAGAAGGGUCAUGCUUCCCCACUCAUAGUGAGUUUUCGUAUCUCUUCCUAAGAAAAAUGAAAGUCAAGCCUCAGGAGGGAUGGUCGAGAUUAAAAAUUGCCAAGCAAUCAGUGGGUCCUAAGGAAGUAAUCCACACUCGGAGCAUCGUGCACCACAGUAGUGAGGGCAGCAUUGCGUGGAGGUGGAGGAUUAGGCACAUCGUCAGUGUCCAGCAGAAGACAAAGGAGUGAGUUAACAGGACGGUCCAUAUGCUGGAAUUGCAUGUCACUAUCCAUCAAAAAUUGUAUAUGUGACAGAUGUAAUAACAUGUUGCAGCAGCUACAACAGCAGAAGGCAGUAUUACGUACAUGGAUCGUCUCAACGUUGGCUGAAAACAGGCCCUCGGAAGAUGAGAAUUAGAAGGAACUGUGUCCCACCUGCGGUCAUAUUUCCCCAAGGACAUUUUCCCCACUUCUCUCCUUUCCCAUUGGUUCCAGUUUUCCUAGGAUGAACGUGUAUUGAUUUCAUAUUUAACAAAUUAAAGCAAAAGUUAAACUUCCA
Molecule: long non-coding RNA, 8631 nt
Organism: Homo sapiens (human)
Lineage: Eukaryota; Metazoa; Chordata; Mammalia; Primates; Hominidae
Exons: 2
Source: RefSeq, a predicted model, not a curated record